UCCUUGUUAGCUCAGUUGGUAGAGCGUUCGGCUUUUAAAACCGAAAUGUCAGGGGUUCGAGCCCCCUAUGAGGAG
This 75-nucleotide transfer RNA is filed under the name Monosporozyma servazzii. RNAcentral's name for it is "transfer RNA-Lys(TTT)". It matches the Rfam family "tRNA". Rfam says of the family: Transfer RNA (tRNA) molecules are approximately 80 nucleotides in length. Their secondary structure includes four short double-helical elements and three loops (D, anti-codon, and T loops). RNAcentral also lists the same sequence under 13 other names. Lineage: Eukaryota; Fungi; Ascomycota; Saccharomycetes; Saccharomycetales; Saccharomycetaceae. The record is from RNAcentral.